UAGCUUGCUACGAACGGACACACCCGAGGGUGACUUAGUGGCGGACGGGUGAGUAACGCGUGGGUAACCUGCCCCAUAGAGGGGGACAACAGUUAGAAAUGACUGCUAAUACCGCAUAGUAAUGUAGAUCCGCAUGCUUCUACAUUGAAAGCUUUUGCGCUAUGGGAUGGACCCGCGUCUGAUUAGCUAGUUGGUGAGGUAACGGCCCACCAAGGCGACGAUCAGUAGCCGGCUUGAGAGAGUGAACGGCCACAUUGGGACUGAGACACGGCCCAAACUCCUACGGGAGGCAGCAGUGGGGAAUAUUGCACAAUGGGGGAAACCCUGAUGCAGCGACGCCGCGUGAGUGAAGAAGUAUUUCGGUAUGUAAAGCUCUAUCAGCAGGAAAGAUAAUGACGGUACCUGACUAAGAAGCCCCGGCUAACUACGUGCCAGCAGCCGCGGUAAUACGUAGGGGGCAAGCGUUAUCCGGAUUUACUGGGUGUAAAGGGUGCGUAGGUGGCGAGGCAAGUCUGAUGUGAAAGCCCGGGGCUCAACCCCGGUAUUGCAUUGGAAACUGUUUUGCUAGAGUG
This 572-nucleotide ribosomal RNA is filed under the name uncultured rumen bacterium. RNAcentral's name for it is "bacterial SSU rRNA". It matches the Rfam family "Bacterial small subunit ribosomal RNA", at positions 51 to 648 of the family's 1533-position model. The record is from RNAcentral.